GGAGAUCGACGGUGGACAAAUUACUCGCCAACCCGGUCAGAUCUGGAAAGAAGCAGCCGUAACGAGAUUUAAUUUGGGUCGUUUGUUUGGUCUCCCAU
This 98-nucleotide signal recognition particle RNA is filed under the name Rhodospirillaceae bacterium. RNAcentral's name for it is "signal recognition particle sRNA small type". It matches the Rfam family "Bacterial small signal recognition particle RNA". From Rfam's summary of the family: The signal recognition particle (SRP) is a universally conserved ribonucleoprotein involved in the co-translational targeting of proteins to membranes. Archaeal SRP consists of a 7S RNA and homologues of the eukaryotic SRP19 and SRP54 proteins. Lineage: Bacteria; Pseudomonadati; Pseudomonadota; Alphaproteobacteria; Rhodospirillales; Rhodospirillaceae. RNAcentral also lists the same sequence under 2 other names. The record is from RNAcentral.